Molecule: ribosomal RNA, 404 nt
Filed under: Sphingomonas yabuuchiae
Lineage: Bacteria; Pseudomonadati; Pseudomonadota; Alphaproteobacteria; Sphingomonadales; Sphingomonadaceae
Description: bacterial SSU rRNA
Rfam family: Bacterial small subunit ribosomal RNA
Source: RNAcentral
GGCUCAGAACGAACGCUGGCGGCAUGCCUAACACAUGCAAGUCGAACGAGAUCCUUCGGGGUUUAGUGGCGCACGGGUGCGUAACGCGUGGGAAUCUGCCCUUUGGUUCGGAAUAACAGCUGGAAACGGCUGCUAAUACCGGAUGAUGACGAAAGUCCAAAGAUUUAUCGCCAGAGGAUGAGCCCGCGUUGGAUUAGGUAGUUGGUGGGGUAAAGGCCUACCAAGCCGACGAUCCAUAGCUGGUCUGAGAGGAUGAUCAGCCACACUGGGACUGAGACACGGCCCAGACUCCUACGGGAGGCAGCAGUGGGGAAUAUUGGACAAUGGGCGAAAGCCUGAUCCAGCAAUGCCGCGUGAGUGAUGAAGGCCCUAGGGUUGUAAAGCUCUUUUACCCGGGAAGAUAA